CGUGUAGCCGGGCCGACAAGUCAGAUGUGAAAUCCGCGGGCUUAACCCGCGAACUGCAUUUGAAACUGUUGGUCUUGAGUAUCGGAGAGGUCAUCGGAAUUCCUAGUGUAGCGGUGAAAUGCGUAGAUAUUAGGAAGAACACCAGUGGCGAAGGCGGAUGACUGGACGACAACUGACGGUGAGGCGCGAAAGCGAGGGGAGCGAACG
This 207-nucleotide ribosomal RNA is filed under the name uncultured bacterium. Its description in RNAcentral is "partial 16S ribosomal RNA". It matches the Rfam family "Bacterial small subunit ribosomal RNA", at positions 568 to 774 of the family's 1533-position model. The record is from RNAcentral.